This 460-nucleotide ribosomal RNA is filed under the name uncultured bacterium. Its description in RNAcentral is "partial 16S ribosomal RNA". It matches the Rfam family "Bacterial small subunit ribosomal RNA", at positions 338 to 795 of the family's 1533-position model. The record is from RNAcentral.
CCUACGGGAGGCAGCAGUGAGGAAUAUUGGUCAAUGGACGGAAGUCUGAACCAGCCAUGCCGCGUGCAGGAUGACGGCUCUAUGAGUUGUAAACUGCUUUUGUACGAGAGUAAUAGUUCUUACGUGUAGGGAUGUGAAUGUAUCGUACGAAUAAGGAUCGGCUAACUCCGUGCCAGCAGCCGCGGUAAUACGGGGGGUGCAAGCGUUGUCCGGAAUCAUUGGGCGUAAAGGGUUCGUAGGCGGCACGGUAAGUCUGAUGUUAAAGCCCGGGGCUCAACUCCGGUUCGGCAUUGAAUACUGUCUAGCUAGAAUGUGGUAGCGGUAAACGGAAUUCCUGGUGUAGCGGUGAAAUGCGUAGAGAUCAGAAGGAACAUCGGUGGCGAAAGCGCUUUACUGGACCAUUAUUGACGCUGAGGAACGAAAGCCAGGGGAGCAAAUGGGAUUAGAUACCCUAGUAGUC